Molecule: non-coding RNA, 82 nt
Organism: Perkinsus marinus ATCC 50983
Lineage: Eukaryota; Perkinsozoa; Perkinsida; Perkinsidae
Source: Rfam
GACAGCGUGUCCGAGUGGUUAAGGAAGUAGACUUGAAAUCCUUUAGGCUCUGCCUGCGGAGGUUCGAAUCUUGCCGCUGUCG